AGCGUAGGCGGUCGAUUAAGUUAGAUGUGAAACCCCCGGGCUCAACCUGGGAACUGCAUCCAAAACUGGCAAGCUAGAGUACGGUAGAGGGUGGUGGAAUUUCCUGUGUAGCGGUGAAAUGCGUAGAUAUCGGGAGGAACACCAGUGGCGAAGGCGGUCUACUGGGCACCAACUGACGCUGAGGCUCGAAAGCAUGGGUAGCAAACA
Molecule: ribosomal RNA, 207 nt
Filed under: uncultured bacterium
Lineage: Bacteria
Description: partial 16S ribosomal RNA
Rfam family: Bacterial small subunit ribosomal RNA
Source: RNAcentral